RNAcentral lists this ribosomal RNA (512 nucleotides) under uncultured bacterium. Its description in RNAcentral is "partial 16S ribosomal RNA". It matches the Rfam family "Bacterial small subunit ribosomal RNA", at positions 28 to 523 of the family's 1533-position model. The record is from RNAcentral.
GAUGAACGCUGGCGGCAUGCCUAAUACAUGCAAGUCGAACGAGAGGAAGGAAAGCUUGCUUUUCUGAAUCUAGUGGCGAACGGGUGAGUAACACGUAGGUAACCUGCCCAUGUGCCCGGGAUAACUUCUGGAAACGGAUGCUAAAACCGGAUAGGUAGCAGACAAGCAUUUGACUGCUAUUAAAGUGGCUAAGGCCAUGAACAUGGAUGGACCUGCGGUGCAUUAGCUAGUUGGUGAGGUAACGGCCCACCAAGGCGACGAUGCAUAGCCGGCCUGAGAGGACGGACGGCCACAUUUGAACUGAGACACGGCCCAAACUCCUACGGGAGGCAGCAGUAGGGAAUUUUCGUCAAUGGGGGGAACCCUGAACGAGCAAUGCCGCGUGAGUGAGGAAGGUCUUCGGAUCGUAAAGCUCUGUUGUAAGAGAAAAACGACGUUCAUAGGUAAUGAUGAGUGAGUGAUGGUAUCUUACCAGAAAGUCACGGCUAACUACGUGCCAGCCGCCGCAGUAA